This 404-nucleotide ribosomal RNA is filed under the name Fusobacteriota bacterium. Its description in RNAcentral is "Fusobacteria bacterium partial 16S ribosomal RNA". It matches the Rfam family "Bacterial small subunit ribosomal RNA", at positions 355 to 776 of the family's 1533-position model. Lineage: Bacteria; Fusobacteriati; Fusobacteriota. The record is from RNAcentral.
UGGGGAUUAUUGCACAAUGGGCGAAAGCCUGAUGCAGCGACGCCGCGUGAGUGAAGAAGUAUUUCGGUAUGUAAAGCUCUAUCAGCAGGGAAGAAAAUGACGGUACCUGACUAAGAAGCCCCGGCUAACUACGUGCCAGCAGCCGCGGUAAUACGUAGGGGGCAAGCGUUAUCCGGAUUUACUGGGUGUAAAGGGAGCGUAGACGGCGAAGCAAGUCUGAAGUGAAAACCCAGGGCUCAACCCUGGGACUGCUUUGGAAACUGUUUUGCUAGAGUGUCGGAGAGGUAAGUGGAAUUCCUAGUGUAGCGGUGAAAUGCGUAGAUAUUAGGAGGAACACCAGUGGCGAAGGCGGCUUACUGGACGAUUACUGACGUUGAGGCUCGAAAGCGUGGGGAGCAAACAGG